This 1338-nucleotide long non-coding RNA is filed under the name Sorghum bicolor (sorghum). RNAcentral describes it as "long non-coding RNA (SBIC_LNC013531)". Lineage: Eukaryota; Viridiplantae; Streptophyta; Magnoliopsida; Poales; Poaceae. The record is from RNAcentral.
CUGUAGCGAGAUACUAUUUUUCUCUCUUCUCUCGAAAAUGAAUGAGGAGCAAGUGAAGCCAAUAUUUUAUUUUAGCGGCUCUAGCUUCUUCAUGCACUAUAGCAAGACCAUCCUCUUCUUCUUUUUUUUGUAAAAGACCUUACCAACAUUUGGGCUGAACAAAAGAGCACCCCCCAACCCCAACCCACACACAAGCACCAAAUAUUGCCCUCUAAGUUCCUUAUCAGGUCCAUUCAUAAACCUUAGGUGAAAGAUGUGAGAACUAGGCGAUAUGUAACGUGUACAAUCCUCCACGAUAGUUUGGCCGUAUGACAUUGAAAAUAAGAAACGUUAAAUUGCACUUUGUCAUUUUUUCAAAAAAAAAACACGGAAUGACGAUGCUUCAACGACGUUGGAAACACGAAGGAUGUCAUUAUUUUCUUUAGAAAAAAUGAGCAUCGCCUUUUCUCUCUGAAAUACGCACAUUUGUCAUUCAACAUUUUUGGCAACAUUGUGUCGCAGAUUGUGCUGUGUGUGUACAGAAUGCCCUUGGUCCCUAAAGACUCUAGCACAGUGACCUCAUAGCUCUGGGCCUUCGGUCAGACCGAACCAAACCGAUCUCCUCAGUCAUCAUCAGAAAACAAGAUGGAUCGGUUAGUUGAAAAAUUAAAAACCGAGUAAUUUUGGUCGUGGUUAGUUCGGUUCAGUCUCGAUCACGACCGAAGUAACCGGACCAGCUUAGGAGACAAAAAAAUAGCAGAAUUUGUAUCGAAUUUUAGCAGCAUGUUUGCACAUAAAAAAUACAAAUAUCUUGGUUCUCCUUAUUCAAAUACUAACUGCAGCAGCAUCUCACAAUAACAAAAACAGCACGCAAUCAAGUCUUUAAAAAAUAAAAAAAAAACAGUCCAGACUCCCAACAAAGAAUUUCGGUUUUUUUAUUAGUUCGGUUAACCGACACCUAUACUCGAACACCGUACAAAGUUCGUUUAAUUGGAAGCAGGGACUAAAUUCAUGACCGAAAAAUUCGGUCUGAGUCAGUUCAGUUUGAUCUUCAGUCUUCGAUUAAUUACGCAACUGAUGAGGAAGGCAACACGCAGCAGAUCAUGCUGCCGUGGCACCACAUCAUCGAUCAAAAACUAAUCCAUCUCACGCAUCCGAUCCAUCGAAUUAUAUUAUUAUCGAGGUAGAAAAUUAAAUCAGGUGGCACAAAGCAUCUGCAAAUACUUUGCAGCUAAGAAUCGAAGCAUCUGAUCUCUCCCUUUUACAACGACCACCGUGCAUUGGUGCUGGUGCAACAUGCAUCCAUCCACGGCCGCACCUCCUUAUAUUCCCAUGAAGCUUCAUCUUCAAGCUCGGCAC